UACGUAGGGUGCAAGCGUUGUCCGGAAUUAUUGGGCGUAAAGAGAGUGUAGGCGGCCAGGUAGGUCUGCUGUGAAAACUCGAGGCUUAACCUCGAGACGUCGGCGGAAACCAUCUGGCUAGAGUCCGGAAGAGGAGAGUGGAAUUCCUGGUGUAGCGGUGAAAUGCGCAGAUAUCAGGAAGAACACCCGUGGCGAAGGCGGCUCUCUGGGACGGUACUGACGCUGAGACGCGAAAGCGUGGGGAGCGAACAGG
Molecule: ribosomal RNA, 253 nt
Filed under: uncultured bacterium
Lineage: Bacteria
Description: partial 16S ribosomal RNA
Rfam family: Bacterial small subunit ribosomal RNA
Source: RNAcentral